RNAcentral lists this ribosomal RNA (205 nucleotides) under uncultured bacterium. Its description in RNAcentral is "partial 16S ribosomal RNA". It matches the Rfam family "Bacterial small subunit ribosomal RNA", at positions 1288 to 1500 of the family's 1533-position model. The record is from RNAcentral.
UCAGUUCGGACUGGGGUCUGCAACCCGACCCCACGAAGCUGGAUUCGCUAGUAAUCGCGCAUCAGCCAUGGCGCGGUGAAUACGUUCCCGGGCCUUGUACACACCGCCCGUCAAGCCAUGAAAGCCGGGGGCGCCUGAAGUCCGUGACCGCGAGGGUCGGCCUAGGGUGAAACCGGUGAUUGGGGCUAAGUCGUAACAAGGUAAC